GACUAACGCUGGCGGCGCGCCUAACACAUGCAAGUCGCACGAGAAACUCCGUAGCAAUACGGGGCGGUAAAGUGGCGAACGGGUGAGUAAUGCAUGGGUGACCUGUCCUCAAGAUGGGAAUAACCUCGCGAAAGCGGGGCUAAUACCCAAUGCCAUCUCGGUCCUACGGGAUCGGGAUGAAAGAUAGCUGUCACAGGCUGUCACUUGAGGAGGGGCUCAUGCCCAUCAGCUAGUUGGUAGGGUAACGGCCUACCAAGGCUAUGACGGGUAGCUGGUCUGAGAGGACGACCAGCCACACUGGCAC
Molecule: ribosomal RNA, 304 nt
Filed under: uncultured bacterium
Lineage: Bacteria
Description: bacterial SSU rRNA
Rfam family: Bacterial small subunit ribosomal RNA
Source: RNAcentral